Hippocampus comes (tiger tail seahorse) is the source of this 251-nucleotide long non-coding RNA. RefSeq lists it as uncharacterized. The transcript is spliced from 2 exons. The record is from RefSeq and is a predicted model, not a curated record. NCBI's taxonomy places the organism in Eukaryota, Metazoa, Chordata, Actinopteri, Syngnathiformes, Syngnathidae.
AGAUUGAGUCGCCAGCGGGUCAGCGAGCUACAGCAGCAGGUUGAGGACCUCCAGAAGGCGCUGCAGAGUCAGGCGGUCAAGCCCGAUGACUCAAACCUGAAGCGGAAACUGGAUGCUCACAUGUAAGUCAUCAAGAUGGAAGCUCUCAGCAGAUUCAGAGAAUGUGCAGUUGUUCGUCCCUAACCGACGCAAACACGGCAGUUUUAAUUACAGAAAAUAUUUGUGUGAAAAACGCUUAGAUGCCAUAAAAA